RNAcentral lists this ribosomal RNA (465 nucleotides) under uncultured bacterium. Its description in RNAcentral is "partial 16S ribosomal RNA". It matches the Rfam family "Bacterial small subunit ribosomal RNA", at positions 338 to 795 of the family's 1533-position model. The record is from RNAcentral.
CCUACGGGAGGCAGCAGUGGGGAAUAUUGCGCAAUGGGCGAAAGCCUGACGCAGCGACGCCGCGUGAGGGAUGAAGGUCUUCGGAUCGUAAACCUCUGUCAGCAGGGAAGAACGGUCACUGUGCUAAUCAGCAGUGAAUUGACGGUACCUGCAAAGGAAGCACCGGCUAACUCCGUGCCAGCAGCCGCGGUAAUACGGAGGGUGCGAGCGUUAAUCGGAAUUACUGGGCGUAAAGCGCUCGUAGGCGGUAUGUCAAGUCAAGGGUGAAAUCCCCGCGCUCAACGUGGGAACUGCCUUUGAAACUGGCAAACUGGAGUGUGUGAGAGGAUAGUAGAAUUCCAGGUGUAGGAGUGAAAUGCGUAGAUAUCUGGAGGAACAUCAGUGGCGAAGGCGACUAUCUGGCACAUAACUGACGCUGAGGAGCGAAAGCGUGGGUAGCAAACAGGAUUAGAUACCCCAGUAGUC